AAUGAGUUUUAGUAUCUGCCUCUCUGGAUUCUGCUACUGAGCCAGGACUCCUGCCUGUGGAAGAAGAAGUGCUUUCUUUCCUCAGUGACUUUGUCUACUGUCACUGUGCCUUGUCACUGCACCCAAGUAAUGCCAGAGCCAGUCACCCACCUUGUCAGCUCUACACCUCUACCAGCACCCGGCCCUCUCCAAGCUCAUCAUUAUUGUCAAUAAAAACCCCAGUCCAGGAGAGCAGAAGCCAUCCUAUCCGUGAGUGAAACCCUACACUUCCCCCCAUGCAGUUCCUUCACAGUCUGUCCUCCCAUCCACAAGGUUGCUGAACCUCACCUUAACUCAUUCUUUAACAACCCUGGACUGUCGCCUUGGAUUUUAUGAUAAUCCCAUCUUGAUUUCUGGCACCUGCAGAAGAGAUAUUCUGGAUUAUUAUCACAUGCUAAUGAUGCUGCCCCACUGCUGAUUCUGGGUGUCAGUGCUGGAGGCGGAGAGACUUACACCUUCAGCAACGUUGACUGGGUGAUAGGCCAGACUGGACAACUUGAUGGUGGUAAUAAGUUAAACAAAACAGAGCCAAACCAAAGCCAAGAUGGAACUGCGACUGGG
This is a long non-coding RNA of Monopterus albus (swamp eel), 600 nucleotides long. RefSeq lists it as uncharacterized. The record is from RefSeq and is a predicted model, not a curated record. Lineage: Eukaryota; Metazoa; Chordata; Actinopteri; Synbranchiformes; Synbranchidae. The transcript is spliced from 3 exons.